AUGUCCCAACCAGGAUGCAAUCUUGAUUUCCUAAUUUCAAAUCAAUCAUUUUGUAGGGGACUUCUGAUUGAUCUAGCUGCAACCGAACGAAGAUCCUUCGACGUCCAGACCUUGUCGCCUCCCGCGCUCGGUGUAUCUCUCUCGGACUUGUCUGGUUACCAUUGGAGCACCAUUACAGAGGACCUCCCUAUGGUAUAUGGUCGCCACAAGCAGAAUAUGAGAAAAAAUGAAUGGAAAUUUAGUACAUCUAACCCUCACAACAUGCUGCCUUCUUUCUCCCGUCAGACAAAGGCCACCGAACUCCGCCAUGCUCCCUUGAUCUCUCUCAUCUUUCCCACUCAGAUUCGUUUAGCCGCGGCAGGUGAAAGUAUCCAAGCAACAGAAGGCGGAAGGCGAGGGCAUACGGAAUGGAUCGUCUAUAAUCGAGUGGGGAGGCUUGAAGAUAUCCGAGUGGAGAGAAGAUGA
RNAcentral lists this ribosomal RNA (465 nucleotides) under Triticum aestivum (bread wheat). RNAcentral describes it as "partial small subunit ribosomal RNA". Lineage: Eukaryota; Viridiplantae; Streptophyta; Magnoliopsida; Poales; Poaceae. The record is from RNAcentral.